AACGAACGCUGGCGGCAGGCCUAACACAUGCAAGUCGAACGCUGUAGCAAUACAGAGUGGCAGACGGGUGAGUAACGCGUGGGAACGUGCCCUUUGGUUCGGAAUAACCCAGGGAAACUUGGGCUAAUACCGGAUACGUCCGUAAGGAGAAAGAUUUAUCGCCAAAGGAUCGGCCCGCGUCGGAUUAGCUAGUUGGUGAGGUAAAGGCUCACCAAGGCGACGAUCCGUAGCUGGUCUGAGAGGAUGACCAGCCACACUGGGACUGAGACACGGCCCAGACUCCUACGGGAGGCAGCAGUGAGGAAUAUUGGACAAUGGGCGCAAGCCUGAUCCAGCCAUGCCGCGUGAGUGAAGAAGCCUUAGGGUUGUAAAG
RNAcentral lists this ribosomal RNA (373 nucleotides) under uncultured bacterium. Its description in RNAcentral is "bacterial SSU rRNA". It matches the Rfam family "Bacterial small subunit ribosomal RNA", at positions 29 to 430 of the family's 1533-position model. The record is from RNAcentral.